CUUUGUCUAGCCACUGGUAAUUUGGGGAGACUUAAGCCUCUAUCAGAAACUUGAGAUGGAAACUCCCUCAUGCCUGCUUAUAUUGUCUGCCCAGCCAAUUACCUUGUGUAGAAAACAGAUAAAUGUUUUAUUCACUCAUAUAGCAGACUUUUUGGAGAUACUUUGCCACAAUAGAGAGAAAACCAGACACGAUUCUUGCACUCAUUCUGCUAGCCUUUAGUGAGUGAGAGAGACGUGAAUCAAAUAACCACACAAGACAUAACGUUCCAACACGGUUAGUGCUAAGAAAGAGAAGUACACCACAGUGCUAGAAAUGCUCAUGUAAUUGGGGAAUUUACCUAGUCAUGGAGAUCAGAAAAGGAUAUCCUGUGUAAGCCAGGGGAGAACUAGGGUGUGAUCAGUGAGUAAUAGUUAGCAGUCAGAUAGAGGUAACGUCUGAAGCCCUGUCCGGAAGACAGCAUGGCAAGCUCCAGGAACUGAGGAAGUUUGGGUUGCUGUGCAUUGGCAGUGCAAAAAAUGUGGUGCAAGAAGGCUGAGGUGGGAGUCGGGAAGUUGUGUCAAGGAUUUGGUCUUUCGUCUCUGGUCUUUAUGCUAAGAGCAAGAGGAAGCCAAUGGAAGGUUCUAAGCAAGAGCAAGGAUGGAGGAGGGGAAAGAGGUGGCGAAAGGGACUCUGCAGAUGUGAUUAAGUAAAAGAUCUUGAAGUGGGAAGAUUAUCCCGGAUUAUCCAGGACAAAGGAAAAGGAAACAAAGAGAAGAAAGAAACAAGCAUGAUAGAAGGUGAUGCUAGUAACAGCUAUGAUAAAAGAAGAAAGAAGAUAUUUGGAAAAGGAAAAAGAUAUGGCUGCCUCUGCUGCUGGAGUUAGAGGAAAGCAACUGUGCUCUGGUGUCUGAGUCCAGUGGAAUGUUCUGUUCAUCCCCAGAAUUCGACGUGAAGUGGGUUACGUAGAGAUAUGCCAGAGCCUCCUCCCUCCCCUGCCUCGUUGUGCCUGUUUAAGUCUCUUUUUCAACUGAGGACCCAAGAAAACAAGUGCCAACCAUUGCAGCAUAACAAAGGAGGUCUUAGAUCAUGUAUCAGGACUGAAAAAGAGAUGCCAAACCAGUUUUGUCAACUUUACCUAAGAUGUAUCUUCAAGUUAUACAAGCAAAGAUUAAGAAUUUGGCCAAAAAAUUGAAGAACUGUGCCAUGUACAUCUCCAGUCCUUCUGCUGCACCGCCCCCCCCAUGGGAGAGGGAAGCAUAGAGCGUCCCCUGGAAGAACUUCUUUGGGAUCCCUCAGAGAACUUAAUACGUGUCUCCUGGAACUUAAGGAAUAUAGUGGAGUGGUGCCUUACUCAAGUUUCAGGAAGCCGAAGUGGAAGAAGCUGUGUAAAGUGACAAUGCCAGCAGGAUAGGGGCUACAGCUGAGAGUUAACUGCAAUCACUCAGAAAGCCACAGGUCCCUAGAGAGGCAAGGACUCUUCACCACAAAGAGGCCACGGGAAGAGGAGGAAAAUGGAAGGGCCCCGCUGGUGCAGAGGCUUUUGCUCGUGUCAAGAAAAUUACAGAGGAGAGAUUCUCGGUGAUGCGGGAAUCUCCAAGUGCCUAUGGGAGAGGCCAUUUAAAAAAUGCGCCACAAGCAGCAAAACCACCCCCAGCUGAAAGACUGUCUGGUCUGACCCCAAGCUUGGAGAGGCUGAAGCUGGAACUAACAAGUAAGAGGUAGAAACUGGCAGAACAAAGAAAGAAAAACUGAUUGUAUGCCCCUUUUCCAGUGCCAACAGGAGCUUGUGACAGGCUGAGAUGGGAUGGCGAAGGAGGAGCAAAAUUUGAACUGAAUUUGGAAUUUUGUCAAAUUAAUUAAAUAAGUGAAAGUCCUUUGAGGACUAAAGAGACAGGAGGUCUUCUAAAGAUUAUCUAAUAGUAAAGUAACUACCAAUCAUUUAGUACAAGGAAGGGGGAAACCAACAUAAGCAGCCAGUUUACAGGAGAAGACGUGAGAAAAAUUAAAAUUGUUUUAAAAUUGCCUCCUAUGAAUUAUUUUCUUAAUGUUCAUGGUACAUAU
Molecule: long non-coding RNA, 2041 nt
Organism: Equus caballus (horse)
Lineage: Eukaryota; Metazoa; Chordata; Mammalia; Perissodactyla; Equidae
Source: Ensembl